RNAcentral lists this ribosomal RNA (397 nucleotides) under uncultured bacterium. Its description in RNAcentral is "partial 16S ribosomal RNA". It matches the Rfam family "Bacterial small subunit ribosomal RNA", at positions 523 to 918 of the family's 1533-position model. The record is from RNAcentral.
AUACGUAGGUGACAAGCGUUAUCCGGAUUUACUGGGCGUAAAGGGUGUGUAGGCGGUCUUGCAAGUCAGAAGUGAAAUUCCUGAGCUCAACUCGGGCGCUGCUUCUGAAACUGCAGGACUUGAGUGCUGGAGGGGAUAGCGGAAUUCCUAGUGGAGCGGUAAAAUGCGCAGAUAUUAGGAAGAACACCGGUGGCGAAGGCGGCUAUCUGGACAGUAACUGACGCUGAGGCGCGAAAGCGUGGGGAGCAAACAGGAUUAGAUACCCUGGUAGUCCACACUGUAAACGAUGAAUGCUAGGUGUAGGGGGUAUCGACCCCUUCUGUGCCGCAGUCAACACAAUAAGCAUUCCGCCUGGGGAGUACGGCCGCAAGGUUGAAACUUAAAGGAAUUGACGGGG